This is a long non-coding RNA of Magallana angulata, 421 nucleotides long. RefSeq lists it as uncharacterized. The record is from RefSeq and is a predicted model, not a curated record. NCBI's taxonomy places the organism in Eukaryota, Metazoa, Mollusca, Bivalvia, Ostreida, Ostreidae. The transcript is spliced from 3 exons.
AGGCAAAGGAUGAGACCUGUUAGUAGGUCGUGAAAGUCUUCUGUCCACCUGCUCAAUGAAAUCAACGAUGGUCCGCCUCGGGAAUCGAUAACGGCAAAUUAGUUCUCGGUCGCUGAAAACAUCUAAGGGGAUUUCAAAGGAUUUGAAGAAGCACAUUCACCCUUAUUGGACAUUCGGAUAACCUCGAACUCUACCGCAUGCUCUGGUGAAGGGUCUGAACUCAGAGGUUGGAACAAAAGACUUGUCGACCGACAUUCCUGGGUGUUUCUAAAACGAAUGCCAAUGAUGAAUCUACUUUAAUUAAGUACUAAGAUGCCACAAUAUCUCAAUGCGCUGUAAGAUGUACAAUCAAGACAUACGGAAAGUAACGAUACAGGUGAUUCAAAAGUUUUCCAUCGCCUGUCAGCUCAAAGUCACCAAA